GACUGGGAACCACCUAAGGGUUGCGUGAUUUGAUCAGCACAGUCUCAAUGUUUUUCUUUCGAUGGUUAAAGUAGCUAUCUUUGUAGCCCCUGUGGAUUAUGAAGAAAAGGGCUGGGGGCAGCAAAUCAAAGGAGUGCUAAUUGGGUCAUGACAAAAAGCAAGAACUUCUCAAUCAUGUCCGUCCAAUAUCUGAAGAUGUACAAAAGCUAAAACCCAGGCAGGUGGUGACCAGGCUAACCUUGGCUGUUUCUUGCUUAAUUUGACUAUUGAAACUUUUUUAAUUGGGUUCUUUUCUGUUCUACACCUUUUUUUUUUAAAGGUAGAUUAUUUUUAGACAAAAUAAAUAACAUAUUUCGUGAGCAGGUGGAGAGCUAAAAAAUUCCAGUUGCCAGGUGUCAUACUAUCAAAGAGCACGCCAGGUGUCAAAAGUAGAAAAAUAACUGUGGAGGGUAUCUGGGGAGAAUUCCAAGAAAGGUCGGACAGUCAUUAUGCUAACCCUGGCGACUAUUUUGCUUCACAAUUUAACUGCAAAAAAAAU
Molecule: long non-coding RNA, 538 nt
Filed under: Rattus norvegicus (Norway rat)
Lineage: Eukaryota; Metazoa; Chordata; Mammalia; Rodentia; Muridae
Description: long non-coding RNA NONRATT026637
Source: RNAcentral